AUAAACGACUCUCGGCAACGGAUAUCUCGGCUCACGCAUCGAUGAAGAACGUAGCAAAAUGCGAUACUUGGUGUGAAUUGCAGAAUCCCGUGAACCAUCGAGUUUUUGAACGCAAGUUGCGCCCGAAGCCAUUCGGCCGAGGGCACGUCUGCCUGGGCGCCACGC
Molecule: ribosomal RNA, 165 nt
Filed under: Arctium lappa (great burdock)
Lineage: Eukaryota; Viridiplantae; Streptophyta; Magnoliopsida; Asterales; Asteraceae
Description: 5.8S ribosomal RNA
Rfam family: 5.8S ribosomal RNA
About the family: 5.8S ribosomal RNA (5.8S rRNA) is a component of the large subunit of the eukaryotic ribosome. It is transcribed by RNA polymerase I as part of the 45S precursor that also contains 18S and 28S rRNA. Functionally, it is thought that 5.8S rRNA may be involved in ribosome translocation.
Source: RNAcentral